GGGCGUGUAGCUCAGUUGGUAGAGCGUGUCAUUAGCAUCUUCUAUCCCUACUUGACAAGGUCUUUGGUUCGAUUCCUAACUCGUCCA
RNAcentral lists this transfer RNA (87 nucleotides) under Apiotrichum porosum. RNAcentral describes it as "Trichosporon porosum tRNA". It matches the Rfam family "tRNA". From Rfam's summary of the family: Transfer RNA (tRNA) molecules are approximately 80 nucleotides in length. Their secondary structure includes four short double-helical elements and three loops (D, anti-codon, and T loops). Lineage: Eukaryota; Fungi; Basidiomycota; Tremellomycetes; Trichosporonales; Trichosporonaceae. The record is from Rfam by way of RNAcentral.